This 320-nucleotide unclassified non-coding RNA is filed under the name Basidiomycota sp. Its description in RNAcentral is "partial contains small subunit ribosomal RNA, internal transcribed spacer 1, and 5.8S ribosomal RNA". The stretch from base 1 to 47 matches the Rfam family "Eukaryotic small subunit ribosomal RNA", at positions 1785 to 1831 of the family's 1831-position model. Lineage: Eukaryota; Fungi; Basidiomycota. The record is from RNAcentral.
AAAGUCGUAACAAGGUUUCCGUAGGUGAACCUGCGGAAGGAUCAUUAAAGAAAUAAACUUGAUGAGUUGUUGCUGGCUCUAAAUUUUGAGCAUGUGCACGCUUGUCAUUUUUAUCUUUCCACCAUGUGCACUUUGCAUAGGUCUGAAAAUCAAGGUCUCUACCUUUGAUGUCUUGGGAAUUGCAGGUUGCUUUUGCAAUCAGCUUUUCCUGUCUUCAGGCUCUAUGAUUUUUAUAUACACCAUGUAUGUUAAAGAACGUCUUUAAAGGCUUUUAGCCUAUAAACAUAAUACAACUUUCAGCAACGGAUCUCUUGGCUCUC